AGAAAAAUAUGGCUAUAUUCAGUAUGAACCAUAUAGACAGAUAUGUACAGUGUAGUAACAGUACAAUUGUAGUGCAGAAA
Molecule: long non-coding RNA, 80 nt
Organism: Etheostoma cragini (Arkansas darter)
Lineage: Eukaryota; Metazoa; Chordata; Actinopteri; Perciformes; Percidae
Exons: 3
Source: RefSeq, a predicted model, not a curated record